ACCUGGAAACAAAGAGGUAAGAAAAAGUCUCUUGCCUCUUCGGCAGGUCCAGAGUUUUCCCCGGACUCCCUCCCGGCUAGCCGUGGCGCACUAAACCCCUGCAGGCUGUGUUCGUGCCGCCAACCCCAGUCCUCUCCCUGCGCUCCAACCGAAGCCCGAGCCUCAGCUCCCAGCCCCGCCUGCCCCGGUGGGUGAGCAGACAAGCCUCUCGGGCGGUGAGUGCCGGUCGGCACCGAUCCUCUGUGCGGGAAUCUCUCCGCUUUCCCCUCUGCACCCCUGUGGCUGUGCUCCCCUCCGCGGCUCCGAAACUCUCCCCUCCGCCACCCGCAGUCUCCGCCCGCGAAGGGGCUUCUAGUGUGUGGAAACCUCUCCUCCUUCACGGCUCCCUCCCACUGGUGCAGGUCCCGUCCUUAUCCUUUUGUCUCUGUUUAUUCUUUUUUCUUUUUCCCUACCCAGCUGCCUGGCAUUUUUAUCCGAGAAGAGGUUUACAGAACCAAACCUGCAGGGAACAAAUAUUCGCGACUACCACCUGCACUUUAAAGAGAGGAAGAAAUCAUCAGCUCCGGAGACAGUAAAGGAGAAGCUGCAGCUUCUGCAAGGUCGAGCAUCAAGGAAAGAAGAGAGACACACCCAGGGGGAAAUUGAAGCUGGGCAGUUACAAGCCAAGGAAAGCCUAGGACCACCAGCAAACACCAGACACGGGAAGAGGCAGGAAGGACCCUCCCCUGGAGCUUUUGGAGGGAGCACAGCCCUGCUGACACCUUGCUCCUGGACUUCUGGCCUUGAGAACUGUGAGAGAAUGAAUUCCUGUGUUUAGCCACCCGGCUGUGUAAUUUGUUACAGCAGCUGGAGGAAAUGACCUCAUUGGGUCUCAGUUAUUUGGCUGAUAAAAUU
Molecule: long non-coding RNA, 894 nt
Organism: Orcinus orca (killer whale)
Lineage: Eukaryota; Metazoa; Chordata; Mammalia; Artiodactyla; Delphinidae
Exons: 3
Source: RefSeq, a predicted model, not a curated record